UACGGGGGGAGCAAGCGUUGUUCGGAUUUACUGGGCGUAAAGGGCGCGUAGGCGGCCACCGCAAGUCGACUGUGAAAUCUCCGGGCUUAACUCGGAAAGGUCAGCCGAUACUGCGGGGCUAGAGUGCAGAAGGGGCAACUGGAAUUCUCGGUGUAGCGGUGAAAUGCGUAGAUAUCGAGAGGAACACCUGCGGCGAAGGCGGCCAUCUGGACCGUUUCUGACGCUGAGGCGCGAAAGCGUGGGGAGCAAACAGG
This 254-nucleotide ribosomal RNA is filed under the name uncultured bacterium. RNAcentral describes it as "partial 16S ribosomal RNA". It matches the Rfam family "Bacterial small subunit ribosomal RNA", at positions 524 to 776 of the family's 1533-position model. The record is from RNAcentral.